CUUCUAAUUUUCCUUCCGCUUUGAAUGGAUUUGAAAAGAAAUAACAAAAUGAUUCAUUUUACUUCCAUUUCUCUCUAACUUGGGAACACAAAAGAAAAUUUUGUUUUCCUUUCCUUUCUCUUCUUUUUUCUAAUGACUUUCUUUUCUCUUCUCUUUUUUUUCUUUUGUUAAACUAGGGAACGAGACGUAAGAGUAUGGUCACACCCAAUCUACUCAAAAAGUGAUGUCACAUCAGCGUCACCUCACCUCUACUACAAACUCACUACCAACCCAUUUGCCAUUGGAAAUGGUUACCACUCCACAUCAUUUUUUUUUGACAAUAUUAGAUUAAAUUAAAAAAAAAGUAAUUCAAAUAAAACAAACAUUAAAAAAAUCCUAAAGUUACUUAUUUAUCCUAAAUUACUUUGAAAAAACACACAAUAUAACAACUAAAACAUAAAUAUGAGAACCUAAUCCUCAUACUUAGCACGGACACGUUGUUGGAUUUUGAGAAAUGUCGCGAGAUUUUCGGGGUCGAGAUCCGGUAGGGGCUUCGAGUUUAUGAUUUGAAGAUCGGUAAGAGCGAUUUUUUGGCGACGAGAUUCCUCCGUGGAUUCAUAUUUUCUUUCUAGAAAACUUAAAGUUUUAUCUAUGGAUUCGACAACCCGUCGUCGCUAGUUGCGGUUGCUUUCCCGCUUGAAGACGCCACCCGUUUUGCUUUGUCCCUUCUCGGUGGUCGACGGAGUUGGACUUCAGGUGGACCCUCUCCCUCGGCAACAUCGACGUCAUCAUUGAGGUCUAGCCCAAAACCCGCGUCCGAUUCAGAAGUUCUUGUUCUUUUGUUGGAGCCGGUGUCGAGUCUAAAUGUGAUGUCUCCGGAUUAAGGACCAAAUGGUUUACCGUUGUUGGUCACUUUGAAUUGGUAACACGCGGUUGAUAAAAUGUUGAAAUCGUUGGAACCACUUUUAUGCAUAUUUUUUAGAUUUUCAAAUAUGCCAUUAAACUUUGUGCAAAUCGCGCGAAGAUCACACCAUUUUCCGUUGACCGUGUCGUAGGACCGAUCCAUUUCCCUUCCAAGUAGCGCGUGAAAGUGGUCCAAAACACGAUUCCAAAAACUUUCUCUAGAUUGCGCGUUGCUUCUCCUCGAGUCACAAGAUAUGAUAAUCCAAGCUUUUGCUAAAGCUUCUUAUUCUUCGUUCCAAGCCGUUGUUUUCUUUUUCCUUUUUCCUUUUGGUUGCCUUCUUCGAGAUGGUUGUGGUGUUUCUUGGACCAUCUCAUCGUCGUUGUCAAGGUUGACGGUUUGGGAUUGAGUUAAUAGGGCUUGAGAUGAUUGUGUUUGGAGUUGUGGAGAAACUUGUUGUUGAAAGCCUUGGAAUUGGGGAAUGAAUUGAAGUUGAGUGAAUUGUUGUUGUGGUUGUUCUUGUUGGAAGAAUUGUGGGUUGUAUGGAAGGUUAGUGAAUAAAAGUUGUUGUUGGAUUGGAGAAUUCAACAAUUGCAUAUAUGCUUGAUAAUCACUUGGAGUGGGUGGAGUAUUUUGGUUUGGAUCCAUUUUUUGGAAGAAAAGUGAAAGAAAGUAGAAGUAUUUUUUUGAUUUGGAAGUGUAAAUGUGAAAGUGUAGGUGAAAGUGUAGUGUGUGUGUGUGUAUAUAUAUAUAUAUAUAUAUAUAUAUAUAUAUAUAUAUAUAUAUAUAUAUAUAUAUAUAUAUUCUUAAUAAAAGAUUCAUUUAAGCUAGACAUGUCCCCCUUAUAAACCCCUGUUUUGCCACGUGGCAAGUUCUCCACCAUUUUGCUCAAUUGUUUUCCCGCUCUUUUGCUCAUCUGCAUUGUAUACCUUUAAAAUCGACGAUAUAUCCCUUUAAAUCAGCACUUCCAUUUUGACUAUUUUAUCUUUUACCAAAAUAUCUGCAAUAAAAAUCAACUUUAUUUAUGUAAACAAAUCAAAAUGCAUUUAAUCCCUAAAAUUUGGUUGGUUUGUUUUCUGCCAAUGAUUUUGAAGCCUGAUCACCUUUACCAAGUUCUUUAAAAUCUAUCAAAUCCCUAAAAAUCAUCAAUAAUAUAUCGAAACUAAUGUAAUUUUCGUAACAAUUAUGGCAUUUUAAAUCUUCUCCAUUUAAAACAAUAUAUUGCGUCUCAUUCCUCUACAUAUAUUUAUAUGUAUUGCUUGAAAAGAGGUCUAUUUAUUUUCUGCCAUUGAAUUUGAUAUCAUUCUUUGCUACUCUGCUCUGCUCUGCUCUACUGGUUUCUUCAAGGUUAGUAAUAUGUUCUUUUUCUAUUAUUCUUGUGUUAUAAUAUUAUGAUAGUCAUGUAUUUUUGCACAAACUAAUUUGUCCCUCCCUUUGAUAAUCGACCUGCUUCAAAUAUGACAAUCGUGAUUUUCUGUAAAUCAUGUUUUUCUAUUAUUGUUGUUUUUCUAAUGUUUUGUGUAGGCCUUAACAAUACUCUUUGUAAGCUAUUUAAAACACAUUAUCAACUUGUGAAUUUUUUUAAAACUACGAUGUUAUGGUUUGUAUGUUUUUGUGAUAAAAUACUAAAAAAUAUAUUAUUACCUUCCUACAUAGAUACUUGUUGUGAUGACUAACCUUCAUUUCCUUGAUGUGCUUUUCUCCUACAAUCACAAGAACCGGUACCUAAACAAUACAAUUUAUACAAAUAAAAACUAAAGUAUAAUGACCAUUAUUGUAACUUUUUAUAAAAUAGUGACCAUUUAAAACUUAUUAAGAUAGUGACUAUUUUGUUACAAGACAAGGACCAUUUUUUUAUAUUAGUUAACAUGUAAAGAUUAGUUAUAACAAUUACAACACAUACAUGUUAUAACUUAUAAUGAUUAUAACACAUAACAUACAUUCAUUAAAUAGCCUAUUUUGGAGAAUAUAGCCAUAAUUGUUAAACUUGUACGAGUCACGAGUUGACUCGUACGAUUCGAGCCAUUUGAUACCCAAAACGGUUCAACUCGUAAGGUGACUUGUUUUUUGUCUAACUCGUAAAAAAAUUUCGGGUCAAGUACCGACUCAGACCGAGUCGAGUUGGCUCGUAAAUCGGACGAGUCAUGAAACAUAUGGCUUACUUUCGUUUAUCCAAUGGUUAAAGUUAUUAUCCGGUGGUUAAAACUAUUAUCCAGCUAUAUGAUGGGUUUUAUGGAGAUAGAAGUCAACGUGUAAAAAGGUAUUGUCCUUUUUUUCUUAAACUGAACUUCAUGUCUUCUCCAUCUUUUCUUAAACUGAACUUCUUGUCUCUUCUUUCUUUUUUCCUAUACUUCUUCAUUUCCUAAUUCUUCUUUAGUUCUUCUCUUUACCUGCGAUACUUCUUCUUGACAUUUCUUACGAUCUUCUUAACUUUUCCUGCAAUUCUCCUUCACUCCUUCAUCACUUCACAAUCCUUCAUCAGUUAACAGGUAAGGUUUUUUCCUCUUUUUCAAUUUUUUUGUAUAAGAUUAUGAUAUUGAAUGUGAAUAAAUUUGUUGAAUCAGUUUUUUUUAUCUCAAAGAUUCGAAUUUUCUAGGACAAAAAGAGUCCCCAGGGGUAUUUUCGGAUUAUAUUGUUUUUUAAACUUAUGUGAGUUAGUUCAGGAAGCUAACUCUUUCCCAUAAACUUUUUAUUAACUUGUUCUCAUUUUUUGUCUUCCCUGUUGUUGUCUAUGUUCUUUAUAUGUUCAAAUAUUAUAUGCGUUCUUGUUUUCUUUCUUCCCUGUUAUCUCUGUUCUUUCUCUGUUUAAAUAUUACCUGUGUGCAAUUUUAUUUUAUUUUGAUCAGGUUCUUUUUAGUAAUGUGAUUAUCUUUGAUCAGGUUCUUUCGUUUGUAGAGUUUAAUUAUGCCAAAAGGAAAGGCAAAACCAGACAUCACGUAGGGACAUUGUACUAAAGUAAACCCAAAAAAUAGAGUUAGAUUGCAAUGCAAUUAUUGCAAUAAACACAUACUUCAUAGGCCACUUCACGCCGCGGGAUAUUUUCUUAAUCCUAGUCUUCAUUUCGAGGAGAACUUUAAUGCUGAUAAAGAAGUCAAAUGUGGAUUGUAUGAUGUCAUUGAAAGGAUGUAUGAUAGGUCAACAAUGGUGACAAUUCAUGAACAACUUGUAAAGUUCAAUGAGAGCAUCGGGAUGUUUGGGAUAUCCACAGCCGUGUUAAUAAGGAAGAAAAUGCAACCUGCUAAAUGGUGGUCAAGUUAUGGAGAUGAGUGCCCAAAACUUCAACAUCUUGUUAUUCGUGUCUUGAGCCUUACAUGUAGUGCCACCGGAUGUGAGAGAAACUAGAGCACUUUUGACCAUAUACACUCCAAGAAGAGGAACCGUUUGGAACAUCAACCUUGAUACACGACUUCAAAAGAGAAAAUAAAGAGGGGAGACUUAUGAUCCAAUAUGUUUGUCGGACAUGGAGUCGGAUGAUGAAUGGAUUACUGAAAAGGAGGAUGUAUGUCUCCCUAAAGAUAUCUCAUGGAUGGAUGUUCAUGAAUGUUUUAAAUAGGAUGAGGGAACUAGUACUAAUAAAAGGAAGAGAUGUAAAUUAUAUAAAGGGAUGAUUACAUAUUAUAAUAUUAAUAAGUAUCAAGUUUAAUAAAUUCAAGGUUUAUUUGUAGGACCAAGGAACCUAAACAAAGUGACUAAUGUUAAAGACAAAGCUAAAAGCCAGCUUGUUGACUUAGAUGAUGAGGAUGAGGAUGAGGGAGAUGAUAUUGGUUUCCAUGAGACAACGGUGGUUGAAGAUGAAGAUGAUGAUGACCACUUUUAUCCCUGAGGUUUAGUUUUAUGAUUUAUACACACCAAGUCUUUUUGUCAUUUGCUUUGUUACUAAAUCACUAGUUAUUUUUUGAUACUUUAUGACAUGUAUUACCCUAACUAGUGAAUUUGUAACAUAUUAGUAAAUGUGCUUAAAUAUUCGG
Molecule: non-coding RNA, 4848 nt
Organism: Lactuca sativa (garden lettuce)
Lineage: Eukaryota; Viridiplantae; Streptophyta; Magnoliopsida; Asterales; Asteraceae
Source: RefSeq, a predicted model, not a curated record